AAUAUUGCACAAUGGGGGAAACCCUGAUGCAGCGACGCCGCGUGAGCGAAGAAGUAUUUCGGUAUGUAAAGCUCUAUCAGCAGGGAAGAAAAAAAUGACGGUACCUGACUAAGAAGCCCCGGCUAACUACGUGCCAGCAGCCGCGGUAAUA
RNAcentral lists this ribosomal RNA (151 nucleotides) under uncultured Bacillota bacterium. Its description in RNAcentral is "uncultured Firmicutes bacterium partial 16S ribosomal RNA". It matches the Rfam family "Bacterial small subunit ribosomal RNA", at positions 360 to 525 of the family's 1533-position model. Lineage: Bacteria; Bacillati; Bacillota. The record is from RNAcentral.